Molecule: long non-coding RNA, 555 nt
Organism: Malania oleifera
Lineage: Eukaryota; Viridiplantae; Streptophyta; Magnoliopsida; Santalales; Ximeniaceae
Exons: 2
Source: RefSeq, a predicted model, not a curated record
AAAAAUUUUAAAAUAAAUCCAGAGGCAGUGGGCCGAUCUCCGUACGCCGCAAAACCCCCCAAAAUCCCAGAGCGGUCGUUUUCUAACUUUUCUGGGUUUUCUUUCUUCCUCUGUUUUCCUGCGCGCCAACCACCACUAUCAGAGGCAUGGCCCUCGGAGUGAAAAUCAAGCUUAAGCCAAGAAGAUUUACGCGUUUGAUGAGUGUGAAGAAGGCUGACAUUUGAUGACUAUCAAGUAAAAAUCCACCAAUUGAAGCUACUAAAAGAGGUCAAUAAUUCAUGCAGAAUAUAUCAAAAGCAUGGAUGCACAUUUGUUAUCACUUAAAAGAACUUGAGCAAUAGGUUUCUGCAAGAGAUCUAUUUUUCGAAUGUGUUGCGGGUUUCUUUAUUUGUAAAAUGAAAAUUGAAUCUGCUUCUGCUUUAAUUUUGCGAUCAAAUGAAUUCUAUAUGUUUAGCAUAUAAAUGUAGUUCUUAUGUUUUAUUUGCCUUUUCAUUCUAUUGUUAUUUCUAGUUGUUCUGCUGGUCACCCAAAAAAAAAAAAAACUUUGUUUAUUUA